RNAcentral lists this ribosomal RNA (505 nucleotides) under uncultured bacterium. RNAcentral's name for it is "partial 16S ribosomal RNA". It matches the Rfam family "Bacterial small subunit ribosomal RNA", at positions 28 to 507 of the family's 1533-position model. The record is from RNAcentral.
GACGAACGCUGGCGGCGUGCCUAAUACAUGCAAGUCGAACGCACAGUUUAUACCGUAGCUUGCUGCACCAUAGACGGUGAGUUGCGAACGGGUGAGUAACGCGUAGGUAACCUGCCUGGUAGCGGGGGAUAACUAUUGGAAACGAUAGCUAAUACCGCAUCAUAUUGAUUAUUGCAUGAUAAUUGAUUGAAAGAUGCUAUUGCAUCACUACCAGAUGGACCUGCGUUGUAUUAGCUAGUAGGUGAGGUAACGGCCCACCUAGGCGACGAUACAUCCCCGGCCGGAGAUGGUGACCGGCCACACUGGGACUGAGACACGGCCCAGAACCCUCGGGGAGGCAGCCGUAGGGGAUCUUCGGCAAUGGACGACAGUCUGACCGAGCAACGCCGCGUGAGUGAAGAAGGCUUUCGGCUCGUAAAGCUCUGUUGUGAGAGAAGAACGGGUGUGAGAGUGGAAAGUUCACACUGUGACGGUAUCUUACCAGAAAGGGACGGCUAACUACGUG